RNAcentral lists this ribosomal RNA (780 nucleotides) under uncultured bacterium. RNAcentral's name for it is "bacterial SSU rRNA". It matches the Rfam family "Archaeal small subunit ribosomal RNA", at positions 46 to 834 of the family's 1478-position model. The record is from RNAcentral.
UAGCCAUACGAGUCGAGAGGUGUAAGACCUCGGCAUACUGCUCAGUAACACGUGGUUAACCUGCCCUAAGGUGGAGAAUACUCCCGGGAAACUGGGGUUAAUGCUCCAUAGUGGAUAUGUCCUGGAAUGGUAUAUCCUCGAAAGAUCCGUCGCCUUAGGAUGGGACUGCGUCCGAUUAGGUUGUUGGCGGGGUAACGGCCCACCAAGCCAUUGAUCGGUACGGGUUGUGGGAGCAAGAUCCCGGAGAUGGAUUCUGAGACAUGAAUCCAGGCCCUACGGGGCGCAGCAGGCGCGCAAACUUUACAAUGCGAGCAAUCGUGAUAAGGAAACCCUGAGUGCCUGUCGAUGCAGGCUGUUCAUAUAUCUAAAUCAUAUGUGAAGAAAGGGCAGGGCAAGACCGGUGCCAGCCGCCGCGGUAAUACCGGCUGCUCGAGUGAUGGCCACUAUUACUGGGCUUAAAGCGUCCGUAGCUUGACUGUUAGGUCCCUUGGGAAAUCUUCGCGCUUAACGUGAAGGCGUCUAAGAGAUACCGGCAGUCUUGGAACUGGGAGAGGUAAACCGUACUUCGGGGGUAGGAGUGAAAUCUUGUAAUCCUCGAGGGACGACCUAUGGCGAAGGCAGUUUACCAGAACAGCUUCGACAGUGAGGGACGAAAGCUGGGGGAGCAAACGGGAUUAGAUACCCCGGUAGUCCCAGCCGUAAACAAUGUGCGUUAGGUGUGUCGGUAACCACGCGUUACUGAUGCGCCGAAGAGAAAUCGUGAAACGCACCACCUGGGAA